CAGAAGAUAGAGAGCACAGA
Molecule: microRNA, 20 nt
Filed under: Corchorus olitorius
Lineage: Eukaryota; Viridiplantae; Streptophyta; Magnoliopsida; Malvales; Malvaceae
Description: pta-miR15
Source: RNAcentral